Molecule: non-coding RNA, 259 nt
Organism: Nomascus leucogenys (northern white-cheeked gibbon)
Lineage: Eukaryota; Metazoa; Chordata; Mammalia; Primates; Hylobatidae
Rfam family: Metazoan signal recognition particle RNA
About the family: The signal recognition particle (SRP) is a universally conserved ribonucleoprotein. It is involved in the co-translational targeting of proteins to membranes.
Source: Rfam
GCCAGGCAUGGUGGUGUGUACCUAUAGUCCCAGCUACUUCGGAGGCUGAAGCAGGAGGAUCACUUGAGUCCAGGAGUUCUGGGCUAUAGUGCAUUGUGCUAAUCAGGUGUCCACACUAAAUUUGGCAUCAAUAUGGUGACCUCCUGGGAGCAGGGGAUCACCAAGUUGCCUAAGAGGGGUGAACUGGUCCAGGUCAGAAAUGGAGCAGGUCAAAAGUCCUGUGCUGCAGCCUGGUCAACACGGUGAAACUCUGUCUCUA